GGCCUCGGAUCAGGUGGGGAUACCCGCUGAACUUAAGCAUAUCAAUAAGCGGAGGAAAAGAAACCAACAGGGAUUGCCUUAGUAACGGCGAGUGAAGCGGCAAAAGCUCAAAUUUGAAAUCUGGUCUUUAGACCCGAGUUGUAAUUUGUAGAGGAAUAUUCGGCAAUGUCAUUGGUAUAAGUUUCCUGGAACGGGACGUCUUGGAGGGUGAGAACCCCGUAUAUUACUGAAUGACAACGCUAUGUGAAUAUCCUUCGAAGAGUCGAGUUGUUUGGGAAUGCAGCUCAAAAUGGGUGGUAAAUUCCAUCUAAAGCUAAAUAUUGGCCAGAGACCGAUAGCGCACAAGUAGAGUGAUCGAAAGAUGAAAAGCACUUUGGAAAGAGAGUGAAACAGUACGUGAAAUUGUUGAAAGGGAAGCGC
Molecule: ribosomal RNA, 420 nt
Filed under: uncultured fungus
Lineage: Eukaryota; Fungi
Description: eukaryotic LSU rRNA
Rfam family: Eukaryotic large subunit ribosomal RNA
Source: RNAcentral